GGGGUUGUAGCUCAAUGGUAGAGCACUCGCCUAGCGCAUGAGAGGCCCUGGGUUUAAUUCUCAGCACCACA
Molecule: transfer RNA, 71 nt
Filed under: Marmota monax (woodchuck)
Lineage: Eukaryota; Metazoa; Chordata; Mammalia; Rodentia; Sciuridae
Description: tRNA.Ala
Rfam family: tRNA
About the family: Transfer RNA (tRNA) molecules are approximately 80 nucleotides in length. Their secondary structure includes four short double-helical elements and three loops (D, anti-codon, and T loops).
Source: RNAcentral